Molecule: ribosomal RNA, 507 nt
Filed under: uncultured bacterium
Lineage: Bacteria
Description: partial 16S ribosomal RNA
Rfam family: Bacterial small subunit ribosomal RNA
Source: RNAcentral
GACGAACGCUGGCGGCGUGCUUAACACAUGCAAGUCGAACGGGCCUUGUCCCCUUUUUUUUGGGGGUGGGGUUAGUGGCGAAUGGGUGAGUAACACGUGAGUAACCUGCCCCUCACUUCUGGAUAACCGCUUGAAAGGGUGGCUAAUACGGGGUGUUCUGGCCUGCUCGCAUGGGUGGGUUUGGAAAGAUUCGACCGGUUUUGGUUGUUUUGGUGGGGGAUGGGCUCGCGGCCUAUCAGCUUGUUGGUGGGGUGAUGGCCUGCCAAGGCUUUGACGGGUAGCCGGCCUGAGAGGGUGGGCGGUCACACUGGGACUGAGACACGGCCCAGACUCCUACGGGAGGCAGCAGUGGGGAAUAUUGCACAAUGGGCGCAAGCCUGAUGCAGCGACGCCGCGUGAGGGAUGGAGGCCUUCGGGUUGUGAACCUCUUUCGCCAGUGAAGAAGGUCCUGCUCUUUGUGGUGGGGUUGACGGUAGCUGGGUUAAUGAAGCGCCGGCUAACUACGUG